RNAcentral lists this transfer RNA (76 nucleotides) under Camelus bactrianus (Bactrian camel). It matches the Rfam family "tRNA". From Rfam's summary of the family: Transfer RNA (tRNA) molecules are approximately 80 nucleotides in length. Their secondary structure includes four short double-helical elements and three loops (D, anti-codon, and T loops). RNAcentral also lists the same sequence under 2 other names. The record is from Rfam by way of RNAcentral. Lineage: Eukaryota; Metazoa; Chordata; Mammalia; Artiodactyla; Camelidae.
GAAGGUGUAGCUCAGGGGUAGAGUGUGUGCUUACUUAGCAUGCAUGAGGUCCUGGGUUCAAUUCCCAGUACUUCCA